UACGGAGGAUGCGAGCGUUAUCCGGAUUUAUUGGGCUUAAAGGGUGCGCAGGCGGCGUGUCAAGUCAGCGGUAAAAUGUCGGGGCUCAACCCCGGCCGGCCGUUGAAACUGGCGUGCUCGAGUUGGAGAGAAGUAUGCGGAAUUCGUGGUGUAGCGGUGAAAUGCAUAGAUAUCACGAAGAACCCCGAUUGCGAAGGCAGCAUACCGGCUCCACACUGACGCUGAGGCACGAAAGCGUGGGUAUCGAACAGG
RNAcentral lists this ribosomal RNA (252 nucleotides) under uncultured bacterium. Its description in RNAcentral is "partial 16S ribosomal RNA". It matches the Rfam family "Bacterial small subunit ribosomal RNA", at positions 524 to 776 of the family's 1533-position model. The record is from RNAcentral.